CCUACGCGUGGCUGCAGUGAGGAAUAUUGGUCAAUGGGCGAGAGCCUGAACCAGCCAAGUCGCGUGAGGGAGUACUGCCCUAUGGGUUGUAAACCUCUUUUGUCGGGGAGCAAAAGCCGGACGUGUCCGGCCGUGAGAGUACCCGAAGAAAAAGCAUCGGCUAACUCCGUGCCAGCAGCCGUGGUAAUACGGAGGAUGCGAGCGUUAUCCGGAUUUAUUGGGUUUAAAGGGUGCGCAGGCGGAUUCUUAAGUCAGCGGGCAAAUCGUGGGGCUCAACCCCAUCCAGCCGUUGAAACUGGGGAUCUAGAGUGUGCGAGAGGUAUGCGGAAUGCGUGGUGUAGCGGUGAAAUGCAUAGAUAUCACGCAGAACCCCGAUUGCGAAGGCAGCAUACCGGUGCACAACUGACGCUCAGGCACGAAAGCGUGGGUAUCGAACAGGAUUAGAUACCCGUGUAGUC
Molecule: ribosomal RNA, 458 nt
Filed under: uncultured bacterium
Lineage: Bacteria
Description: partial 16S ribosomal RNA
Rfam family: Bacterial small subunit ribosomal RNA
Source: RNAcentral